UACGGAAGGCAGCACUGGGGAAUAUUGCACAAUGGGCGAAAGCCUGAUGCAGCUAUGCCGCGUGUAUGAAGAAGGCCUUAGGGUUGUAAAGUACUUUCAUCGGGGAGGAAAAAACAAAACUAAUAAUUUUAUUUCUUGACGUUACCCGAAAAAGAAGCACCGGCUAACUCCGUGCCAGCAGCCGCGGUAAUACGGAGGGUGCUAGCGUUAAUCAGAAUUACUGGGCGUAAAGAGCACGUAGGUGGUUUUUUUAAGUCAGAUGUGAAAUCCCUGGGCUUAACCUGGAACUGCAUUUUGAAACUGAAAUACUAGAGUAUCGUAGAGGGAGGUAGAAUUCUAGGUGUAGCGGUGAAAUGCGUAGAUAUCUGGAGGAAUACCUGUGGCGAAAGCGGCCUCCUAAACGAAUACUGACACUGAGGUGCGAAAGCGUGGGGAGCAAACAGGAUUAGAUACC
This 454-nucleotide ribosomal RNA is filed under the name uncultured bacterium. Its description in RNAcentral is "bacterial SSU rRNA". It matches the Rfam family "Bacterial small subunit ribosomal RNA", at positions 340 to 786 of the family's 1533-position model. The record is from RNAcentral.